This 2907-nucleotide ribosomal RNA is filed under the name Erwinia billingiae. RNAcentral's name for it is "Bacterial large subunit ribosomal RNA". It matches the Rfam family "Bacterial large subunit ribosomal RNA". Lineage: Bacteria; Pseudomonadati; Pseudomonadota; Gammaproteobacteria; Enterobacterales; Erwiniaceae. The record is from Rfam by way of RNAcentral.
GGUUAAGUGACUAAGCGUACACGGUGGAUGCCUAGGCAGUCAGAGGCGAUGAAGGGCGUGCUAAUCUGCGAUAAGCGUCGGUAAGGUGAUAUGAACCGCAAUAACCGACGAUACCCGAAUGGGGAAACCCGGUGCACUUUGGUGCAUCAUUGCAACAUGAAUACAUAGUGUUGCAAGGCGAACCUGGGGAACUGAAACAUCUAAGUACCCAGAGGAAAAGAAAUCAACCGAGAUUCCCCCAGUAGCGGCGAGCGAACGGGGAACAGCCCAGAACCUGAAUCAGUUUGUGCAUUAGUGGAAGCGUCUGGAAAGUCGCAGGGUACAGGGUGAUACUCCCGUACACAAAAAUGCACUUGCUGUGAGUUCGAUGAGUAGGGCGGGACACGUGACAUCCUGUCUGAAUAUGGGGGGACCAUCCUCCAAGGCUAAAUACUCCUGACUGACCGAUAGUGAACCAGUACCGUGAGGGAAAGGCGAAAAGAACCCCGGCGAGGGGAGUGAAACAGAACCUGAAACCGUGUACGUACAAGCAGUGGGAGCACCUUCGUGGUGUGACUGCGUACCUUUUGUAUAAUGGGUCAGCGACUUAUAUUCUGUAGCAAGGUUAACCGUAUAGGGGAGCCGAAGGGAAACCGAGUCUUAACUGGGCGUUAAGUUGCAGGGUAUAGACCCGAAACCCGGUGAUCUAGCCAUGGGCAGGUUGAAGGUUGGGUAACACUAACUGGAGGACCGAACCGACUAAUGUUGAAAAAUUAGCGGAUGACUUGUGGCUGGGGGUGAAAGGCCAAUCAAACCGGGAGAUAGCUGGUUCUCCCCGAAAGCUAUUUAGGUAGCGCCUCGUGAACUCAUCUUCGGGGGUAGAGCACUGUUUCGGCUAGGGGGCCAUCCCGGCUUACCAACCCGAUGCAAACUGCGAAUACCGAAGAAUGUUAUCACGGGAGACACACGGCGGGUGCUAACGUCCGUCGUGAAGAGGGAAACAACCCAGACCGCCAGCUAAGGUCCCAAAGUCAUGGUUAAGUGGGAAACGAUGUGGGAAGGCACAGACAGCCAGGAUGUUGGCUUAGAAGCAGCCAUCAUUUAAAGAAAGCGUAAUAGCUCACUGGUCGAGUCGGCCUGCGCGGAAGAUGUAACGGGGCUAAACCAUGCACCGAAGCUGCGGCAGCGACGCUUAUGCGUUGUUGGGUAGGGGAGCGUUCUGUAAGCCGUCGAAGGUGGCCUGUGAGGGCUGCUGGAGGUAUCAGAAGUGCGAAUGCUGACAUAAGUAACGAUAAAGCGGGUGAAAAGCCCGCUCGCCGGAAGACCAAGGGUUCCUGUCCAACGUUAAUCGGGGCAGGGUGAGUCGACCCCUAAGGCGAGGCCGAAAGGCGUAGUCGAUGGGAAACAGGUUAAUAUUCCUGUACUCGGUGUUACUGCGAAGGGGGGACGGAGAAGGCUAUGUUAGCCGGGCGACGGUUGUCCCGGUUUAAGCAUGUAGGCGGAGAGUUUAGGUAAAUCCGGACUCUUUUAACGCUGAGGUGUGAUGACGAGGCACUACGGUGCUGAAGUAACAAAUGCCCUGCUUCCAGGAAAAGCCUCUAAGCAUCAGGUAACACAGAAUCGUACCCCAAACCGACACAGGUGGUCAGGUAGAGAAUACCAAGGCGCUUGAGAGAACUCGGGUGAAGGAACUAGGCAAAAUGGUGCCGUAACUUCGGGAGAAGGCACGCUGGCGCGUAGGUGAAGGGACUUGCUCCCGGAGCUGAAGCCAGUCGAAGAUACCAGCUGGCUGCAACUGUUUAUUAAAAACACAGCACUGUGCAAACACGAAAGUGGACGUAUACGGUGUGACGCCUGCCCGGUGCCGGAAGGUUAAUUGAUGGGGUUAUCCGCAAGGAGAAGCUCUUGAUCGAAGCCCCGGUAAACGGCGGCCGUAACUAUAACGGUCCUAAGGUAGCGAAAUUCCUUGUCGGGUAAGUUCCGACCUGCACGAAUGGCGUAAUGAUGGCCAGGCUGUCUCCACCCGAGACUCAGUGAAAUUGAACUCGCUGUGAAGAUGCAGUGUACCCGCGGCAAGACGGAAAGACCCCGUGAACCUUUACUAUAGCUUGACACUGAAUAUUGAACCUUGAUGUGUAGGAUAGGUGGGAGGCUUUGAAGCGUGGACGCCAGUCUGCGUGGAGCCAACCUUGAAAUACCACCCUUUAACGUUUGAUGUUCUAACCUGGCGCCGUGAUCCGGCGUGGGGACAGUGUCUGGUGGGUAGUUUGACUGGGGCGGUCUCCUCCUAAAGAGUAACGGAGGAGCACGAAGGUUAGCUAAUCACGGUCGGACAUCGUGAGGUUAGUGCAAUGGCAUAAGCUAGCUUGACUGCGAGAGUGACGGCUCGAGCAGGUGCGAAAGCAGGUCAUAGUGAUCCGGUGGUUCUGAAUGGAAGGGCCAUCGCUCAACGGAUAAAAGGUACUCCGGGGAUAACAGGCUGAUACCGCCCAAGAGUUCAUAUCGACGGCGGUGUUUGGCACCUCGAUGUCGGCUCAUCACAUCCUGGGGCUGAAGUAGGUCCCAAGGGUACGGCUGUUCGCCGUUUAAAGUGGUACGCGAGCUGGGUUUAGAACGUCGUGAGACAGUUCGGUCCCUAUCUGCCGUGGGCGCUGGAAGAUUGAGAGGGGUUGCUCCUAGUACGAGAGGACCGGAGUGAACGCACCACUGGUGUUCGGGUUGUCAUGCCAAUGGCAUUGCCCGGUAGCUAAGUGCGGAAAAGAUAAGCGCUGAAAGCAUCUAAGCGCGAAACUUGCCUCGAGAUGAAUCUUCCCUGGGCCUUUAAGGCCCCUGAAGGGACGUUGAAGACUACGACGUUGAUAGGCCGGGUGUGUAAGCGCAGCGAUGCGUUGAGCUAACCGGUACUAAUGACCCGUGAGGCUUAACCUU